GUCCAGACUCCUACGGGAGGCAGCAGUGGGGAAUAUUGCACAAUGGGGGAAACCCUGAUGCAGCAACGCCGCGUGGGUGAAGGAGCGUUUCGGCGCGUAAAGCCCUGUCAGCGGGGAAGAAGAAAGACGGUACCCGACCAAGAAGCCCCGACUAACUACGUGCCAGCAGCCGCGGUAAUACGUAGGGGGCGAGCGUUAUCCGGAAUUACUGGGCGUAAAGGGAGCGUAGACGGCGAGGUAAGCCUGAAGUGGAAGCCCGCGGCCCAACCGCGGAACUGCUUUGGGAACUGUUUUGCUGGAGUAUGGGAGGGGUAAGCGGAAUUCCUGGUGUAGCGGUGAAAUGCGUAGAUAUCAGGAGGAACACCGGCGGCGAAGGCGGCCUGCUGGACCGUGACUGACGUUGAGGCUCGAGAGCGUGGGGAGCAAACAGGAUUAGAUCCCCGAGUA
RNAcentral lists this ribosomal RNA (447 nucleotides) under uncultured bacterium. RNAcentral's name for it is "bacterial SSU rRNA". It matches the Rfam family "Bacterial small subunit ribosomal RNA", at positions 329 to 792 of the family's 1533-position model. The record is from RNAcentral.